CUCUGCUGUCCCUCUUCCUCCUCCUCCUGUGUCAGCUAUUGCUGCAACUGCAGUUGCAGGCCUCCAUCUAGAACAGAAGCAGAAAUAGCUGUUGCUAUUGUUGCUCUUCCUUUUUCCCCUGCCUUUCUUCUUUCUCGCUUCAUCAAGGUGCAUACCUUGCAUUGCUUUUUGCGCCUAGGCUUCAAGGGACCUUGAUAUUGCUAUUUUUUGUAUGUAUAUUGCUAUAUUUGUGCCUUGCUUCGUCAAGGCGCGUAGGCUCCAAGAGAUCUUGGCACCUUUAUGCAUCUAGAGUCUUUUGCAACUUUGUACUUCAAGAGACUUUGAUAUUGAUAUUUUUAUAAAUAUAUUGGUAUCUUUGCACCUUGCUUUGUAAGGUAAGCACCUUGCUUUGUGCCUUGCGCCUAGACUCCCAUAGACAUUGGCGCCUUUGUGCGCCUUGAGCCUUUGACAUCUUUGUCAUAUCCUAGGUUUACUUCUAUAUUUAAUUCUAGUUCUCAACAUUGACAAUUGACAGUAUUUUCAUGGCUGGUGUUUUUGCUUUGAACUGACAAAUUUCUAAUUUCGGAACAAUAUCUGGCUAAUUAGAACCAAUAUGAAUACAGGUUAAAUAAUAAAAGCCAAUACUAUAUAGUUUGGUCUAUGCUUUAGAGGUUAACAAAUGACGUAGAUAGUUCAAUGCCCAUGAAUUAGGAAUCUUUUUCAGAUGACAAACCUUAUUAUAGAUCCAAGUAGUCAUACCUGAUUUGCAUUCCAUAUGAGAAACAAUAAUGGCCUUUAUGCAUCUUUGGGGCAACGACCUCUGUGCUCAAUCUAAGAUAACACUCUUAGGAAAACAACUACCAAAAUGGUAAUAUUGGCCCAAGCUUCCGUGUCAAAGAUGGGGUUUCUACUUUGCCAGGCCUAACAGUUGCUUAUCCCAUCAUUCAGAGAUAACCCCCUAAAGGAAGAUGACAACAAGUAAUCUUCUUUGCAUGGGUUAAACUUGUGAAUCUACCAGGCUUAUCCUAAUCUUGAACAAAAGUCAACCUAAAUAUGCCUUCUCGCCCAUUUCUUCAAUGAGCAUUGAAAGCUGUUAUUUAGACUCAACUACAUAUGUUGCUGAGAGGAAUUAUCUCUUUAUUUCGAUUCUGACCAAAAAAUUUUAAAACUUGGAUAAAAUCCAUUUCCAGAUAUUUGGCUUAAACAGAAAAUCAAGUAGCUUAUCCUCCUGUGCAGUUAUGCUUGGGACCACCAAAUGAGUGUUGCCAUGUUUUUGCCUCUUGCAUAAGAAAAAAACAGGAAGACAGAACUCUUAACAACUUUAGCUAGAGCCACUAAGAAACUAAUUUUAAAAAUCCAGUAAGAAAGUACCAAGGAACUUGAUCCCAAAAAAAAAAAAUCUUGUCUAUUUUCUUACUUUUUGGGGAAAAAGGAGUAAAGUCUGGUUUGCUUAGUAAUACAUAUAAAUACUCCUUUGCUAGAUGGGUCUUUCUCUGGUUAAACAAACUUUCAAACCCACCUGGUUAAUUUGCAUUUUGAGUCGUAGAAAACUCCUGUUGGUUGAUUUAUCUCACAUGGCAAGUUGGAAGUCUGAUGCUGCUUUCCAUUGCCAAUUCUUAAAAUGAUGAAAAUUUUCUUGGUUUAUUGUAUCCUUAAGUCCGUCACUAUGUAAGUUACACGACUAUUUCAGUUUUAUGUGAUGUUUUUAUUUUCCAACUGUUGGCUGAUGAAAACUUAUGUUUCAUAAGAUCCUUAUGACCAUCCAUAAUUCCAUAUGAACUGUUUCAAUUAUCAGCAUUAGAAUAAGUCAGGUGUUUCAAGGUUUAUAGUGUCAAGAAACUCAGUAGCAAGUAUAGCCUUUAAAUAAGAAAGAAUGGUGAAUCAAGGAGUCAUCCCAAAUUUUUAAGGCUUGCUGGAUAUCAUACUGAACUGACGGUGCAGAAUCCUUUUUGAGUUCAACAUAUUCUAUUCCAGUGGUUUGUGCAUAUAUUUCUGAUUACUCAUGGCUCUACUUACAUGUGCUACAUGUUUGGAGUUACGGAAUGCCUAUAGUAUAUUUACACAUUGAAAGUUAUUACUUUACCCAUUGAAAGCUGUUACUUCUAUGCAUGGAUGGUUAUGAUGUUCUGCAUGUUAAGGUGUUAAUCUUGAUUGGGUACUUUGAACUUUGGCCAUACUCUUUUGAAGAACUCCCUUUUAUUCUCCUCCAAGUUCUUUUUGAUGUAAAAAUAUAGAACACCAACCAAAACUUUAUAAUGUGUGUUUGAGCGAGUACUUUUGAACUCACGUUAAUAUUGUGCAUCUCUGGACUACUCUGCAGGUCCCAACUGAUAUAUCCUCCCAAGAUAAACUUUUCAGAGCUGAGGUAUCUUCUAGUUAUUUUAUGUGUGCUUGAUUAUCCGUAUAUUGUGUUUAAUAUCUUUCAUUUCUUCUUUGAAUGGCGCUCUGUUUCUUCCAAUAUAGUGCUUAAGAUUUCUCAAUUUUGCUCUAUGUGGAUAGUAAAUGAUUGCUGUCCAUUUCAUUCUGCAUGCCAUUCAAUUGCAACAUAUGACUUUAAAUUUGUUUUAUCUCAUGAUUAUUUGGGAACAAGGUAUGCCGUACCGCUCCGUACCAUCCAAUACAGGGCUUACCGUACCAUACUGGGAGAAAACCAGUAUAAAACACACCUUCAAGUCGGUAUCGUUUGUAGAGAUGCGUAUUGGUCUAUACUGAGGCGUACCGAGAUAAAAAUUGAGAAAAAUGGUUAGAGAGCUAUUUGGCAUAGAGGUGUUCCAUACUGUACCAAACCGAAGCUCUUGCUAGAUAUUCCACCUAUACAUAACAUCUGCUUGAAGCUCUUGCUAGAUAUUUUAGGAUAUGAACCACAGCAUAUUGGAGUGGCUUUCCAGGUGCACAAACAAACUGAUUGAUGAUGCUAUUGAUUAAUAAUUUGGAUGCGUAAUCACUUCAUUGCUUUAAUUAUGCAACAUUCUUUUGUCUUUUCUCUGGAAAAUCCAAUAAUGAUCUUAUGAUAUUGAUCAAACUUCUCUGAUAAUUGGGAGAAAAAACUAGUUCAUCUUUAAAACUUUUUGUAUUUACAGAUCCUUUUUAUGUAAUUUUAGUGUUAGUUAGCAUCCUAUUUUGAGUAGGACUGCUACUUGAAUAAUGUAAUUCAGUUAUAUUUUGGUUUAUAGAAGUCUUAAAGACAAUAAGGCUUAAUUUUGUUUAGCAUUCUACUUUGAGCAGGAUUAGUAUCUAGUUAUCGUAAUUCUAUAUUUUGGUUAAUAGAAGUCCUAAAGACAUUAAGAUUUAGUUUGGAAAGCUUUAUAUGCCUCUCUCUUUCAGGUUUCAUUGGUAAUCCAAAUUUGUAUUUUGAAAAAUAUUUCAAGAAGUAAUGUAGGAGAAUAAUUAGUAAUUAUGCUCUGGCAAGAUUCAAGUUAGGAAACAUGGGAAACUGACUGAAUUAAUAAACAGAGGACUUUGUAGAGCUGAAAAAGAAACGUUCAAGCUGUAUUUUUGACAAAGGAAAACAAAAGAAAGCUAACCACAUUCUUCUUUUGUUCUCCUCUAUCUUUGUUUAAAGCUCUCAAUCUAAUCUCUCUCGCUCUCUCUCUCUCUCACUCACUCACUCACUCACUCACUCAUGCACAAGGUUCGCCAUACCGGUACCGAACCCCGUACCGGUGCCGCAUUAGUAUAGGUGUACCGAGUGUCGGUACGGUACCGUACGCUCGGUACCGACAUUGGUGUACCGAUACCGGUACUCAUCGGUACGGGUACGGUACGCUCGGUACCGACCGGUACCGACCGGUACAGCGAACCUUGCUCAUGCAUGUCUCCUUCUAUACUGUCUUCUACUAUUACAUAAUCUUACGGUUU
This 3837-nucleotide long non-coding RNA is filed under the name Phoenix dactylifera (date palm). RNAcentral's name for it is "long non-coding RNA (PDAC_LNC002928)". Lineage: Eukaryota; Viridiplantae; Streptophyta; Magnoliopsida; Arecales; Arecaceae. The record is from RNAcentral.